This 440-nucleotide ribosomal RNA is filed under the name uncultured bacterium. RNAcentral's name for it is "partial 16S ribosomal RNA". It matches the Rfam family "Bacterial small subunit ribosomal RNA", at positions 339 to 795 of the family's 1533-position model. The record is from RNAcentral.
CUACGGGUGGCAGCAGUGAGGAAUAUUGCACAAUGGGGGGAACCCUGAUGCAGCAACGCCGUGUGGAGGAUGACGCAUUUCGGUGUGUAAACUCCUUUUAUAUGUCAAGAGAAUGACGGUAGCAUAUGAAUAAGCACCGGCUAGACUCCGUGCCAGCAGCCGCGGUAAUACGGAGGGUGCAAGCGUUACUCGGAAUCACUGGGCGUAAAGGACGCGUAGGCGGGUUGGAAAGUCAGGUGUGAAAUCCUACAGCUUAACUGUAGAACUGCACUUGAAACUUCUAAUCUAGAGUAUGGGAGGGGGAGAUGGAAUUAGUGGUGUAGGGGUAAAAUCCGUAGAUAUCACUAGGAAUACCUAAAGCGAAGGCGAUCUCCUGGAACAUUACUGACGCUAAGGCGUGAAAGCGUGGGGAGCAAACAGGAUUAGAUACCCUAGUAGUC